GGGGUUUAUUCAAAUUGAUCUCAACUUUUAAAAUUUUUAUAAAUAACUACCUAAUGUUUUAAUAAUUGACAUUUGUCAGCAAUGGCGGAUCCAGGAUUUUAACAAUGGGUGGUCCUAAUAUAAAAGUUCCAGAAAAAAAAAUGAAAAUAACAUAGAAAAAUAAAUGGCAAACUACAACUUUGACAAAAAAUAUGUAUGAACUAACACUGUAACACAAUCUUCUACAA
RNAcentral lists this long non-coding RNA (227 nucleotides) under Malus domestica (apple). Its description in RNAcentral is "long non-coding RNA (MDOM_LNC007203)". Lineage: Eukaryota; Viridiplantae; Streptophyta; Magnoliopsida; Rosales; Rosaceae. The record is from RNAcentral.